RNAcentral lists this ribosomal RNA (405 nucleotides) under uncultured bacterium. RNAcentral describes it as "partial 16S ribosomal RNA". It matches the Rfam family "Bacterial small subunit ribosomal RNA", at positions 28 to 526 of the family's 1533-position model. The record is from RNAcentral.
GAUGAACGCUGGCGGCUUGCCUAAUACAUGCAAGUCGAGCGAAGCGGGGACGGGUGAGUAACACGUGGAUAACCUCCUAUAAGACUGGGAUAACUUCGGGAAACCGGUGCUAAUCCGGUUACUUAUAGAUGGAUCCGCUCUUCAUUAGCUAGUUGGUAAGGUAACGGCUUACCCAGGCAACGAUGCAUAGCCGACCUGAGAGGGUGAUCGGCCACACUGGAACUGAGACACGGUCCAGACUCCUACGGGAGGCAGAAGUAGGGAAUCUUCCGCAAUGGGCGAAAGCCUGACGGAGCAACGCCGCGUGUGUGAAGAAGGUCUUCGGAUCGUAAAACUCUGUUAUUAGAGAAGCGGUAUCUAACCAGGAAGCCACGGCUAACUACGUGCCAGCAGCCGCGGUAAUAC